AGCAGCCGCGGUAAUUCCAGCUCCAAUAGCGUAUAUUAAAGUUGUUGCAGUUAAAAAGCUCGUAGUUGAAUUUCGGGAUCAAAUUGUUGGUCGUGCCUUGGUACGCACUGGCAUUAUUGGUUCCUACCUUCUGAAGAACCGCCAUUGUCAUUAAUUUGGUGUCGUGGGGAAUCAGGACUGUUACUUUGAAAAAUUAGAGUGUUUAAAGCAGGCGCACGCUUGAAUACAUUAGCAUGGAAUAAUGAAAUAGGACGUUUGAUUCUAUUUUGUUGGUUUCUAGGAUCGACGUAAUGAUUAAUAGGGAUAGUUGGGGGCUAUUAGUAUUCAAUUGUCAGAGGUGAAA
Molecule: ribosomal RNA, 343 nt
Filed under: uncultured Glomeromycotina
Lineage: Eukaryota; Fungi; Glomeromycota
Description: SSU rRNA
Rfam family: Eukaryotic small subunit ribosomal RNA
Source: RNAcentral